CUGCAGAGACCAAAAAGAGAGGAUGGGUGAGAGUGGAUGAGUCUGACUCUGCCAUCGGGGAAUGGCAAGGGACAGUGAUGCCGUAAAAAAUAAGUAGUCCCACAUCAAGUCGGCUGCUAGGAAAAAGGGAGCUGAGAGAAGUAGGGAGUUGAAGAAGACUGGGAGGGGGGUGGGUAUUGACCAUUCAUGUGGACCAGCUGGAGGAGAAGGUGUUGUUCAUGAUAGGAGGGAAGGUGGUAGAGGGACUGCAUUUGGACAUCGACUCGGACAGCAUGACCGAAAUAGCACUGGACCUCAUCCAUAUGCCCCUGUGCCCGGAUGUGGGAGCCAUGGAUCAUCAUGAUCAUAUGACAGAAGAACAAGCAGAGAUCAUUACUGAAGACAAAGGAGAUGUGCCUGUCUCCGAUCUUUAUCCAUAAUGACACCCCAAUGGACGAGCCAGUGCAAGGAGGUUUGCUGGUGUGGAGGAGAGAUGGUGGCUCUCCAGAGGACGCUCCUAGGGGUGCUCAUGGCCCUGCACAAGGUGCAAGAGGAGCUGCUGAAGGUGGAAGGCGAGAGAUUAGCCUUGGAGAAGGAGAAGCUAGCACUGGAGAAGGAUACGUUUUUCAUGGAGAAGCGAAGAAGACUAGAAGAUUAAUAUUCUAAAAUAAAUCUGUUUCGGUAUCAUAACAAUCUUAUUUUUUUGUCAUGUGAAUCUCCUCCUUAUGAGGUCAUUCCUUGCUUGUAGGCCAGCUUUUCAUCUACCAGUGAUGUCGGGGUGGCUUGUCAGGAAGUCCAGGACCAGUUGCACAGAACGGGGUUCAGACCUAGGGCCUGAGCUUAAUGAUGAGCUUGGAGGGUACUAUGGUAUUGAAGGCAAUGAACAGCAUUCUUACAUAGGUAUUCUGCU
Molecule: long non-coding RNA, 889 nt
Organism: Oncorhynchus tshawytscha (Chinook salmon)
Lineage: Eukaryota; Metazoa; Chordata; Actinopteri; Salmoniformes; Salmonidae
Exons: 3
Source: RefSeq, a predicted model, not a curated record